UCCCUUGUGGCUCAGACAGUAAAGAAUCUGCCUGAAAUGCGGGAGACCCAGGUUCGAUCCCUGGUUUGGGAA
Molecule: transfer RNA, 72 nt
Filed under: Bos taurus (domestic cattle)
Lineage: Eukaryota; Metazoa; Chordata; Mammalia; Artiodactyla; Bovidae
Also listed under: 3 other names
Rfam family: tRNA
About the family: Transfer RNA (tRNA) molecules are approximately 80 nucleotides in length. Their secondary structure includes four short double-helical elements and three loops (D, anti-codon, and T loops). Further hydrogen bonds mediate the characteristic L-shaped molecular structure. tRNAs have two regions of fundamental functional importance: the anti-codon, which is responsible for specific mRNA codon recognition, and the 3' end, to which the tRNAs corresponding amino acid is attached (by aminoacyl-tRNA synthetases). tRNAs cope with the degeneracy of the genetic code in two manners: having more than one tRNA (with a specific anti-codon) for a particular amino acid; and 'wobble' base-pairing, i.e. permitting non-standard base-pairing at the 3rd anti-codon position.
Source: Rfam by way of RNAcentral